AAUCAACGCUGGCGGCGUGCCUCAGACAUGCAAGUCGAACGAUUAAAGCUCUCUUCGGAGAGUGCAUAGAGUGGCGCACGGGUGAGUAACACGUAAGUAAUCUACCUUCGAGUGGGGAAUAACGUCCGGAAACGUACGCUAAUACCGCAUAAUGCAGCGGCAUCGCAAGAUGACAGUUGUUAAAGGAGCAAUUCGCUUGAAGAGGAGCUUGCGGCAGAUUAGCUUGUUGGUAAGGUAACGGCUUACCAAGGCUACGAUCUGUAACCGGUCUAAGAGGACGGUCGGUCACACUGACACUGAAUAACGGGUCAGACUCCUACGGGAGGCAGCAGUCGGGAAUUUUGGGCAAUGGGGGAAACCCUGACCCAGCAACGCCCGCGUGAAGGA
This 387-nucleotide ribosomal RNA is filed under the name uncultured bacterium. RNAcentral's name for it is "bacterial SSU rRNA". It matches the Rfam family "Bacterial small subunit ribosomal RNA", at positions 32 to 408 of the family's 1533-position model. The record is from RNAcentral.